Molecule: long non-coding RNA, 281 nt
Organism: Solanum verrucosum
Lineage: Eukaryota; Viridiplantae; Streptophyta; Magnoliopsida; Solanales; Solanaceae
Exons: 3
Source: RefSeq, a predicted model, not a curated record
GCAAGACAGAAAGAGAGAAAAGAUCUAAAGAACACACAGAUUCAAGGGAGCAGGAACUACUUAAGGAGGAAGCUCAACAACACGUAACUAUAUGUAGAAACAUUGGCAUUUGCCUUGGAACGAUGGUGAAAAAACUCAAGGCAUCAUUCUUGCCCCUUUUAGACAAGUUUUUGCCUUAUGUAUCACUUAUGUGGAGUAAUGAUAGAACAGCAGAAGAAAGAAGAAUUGUAGUGCACCUUUUCUGUGAUGUUGCUGAGCAGUGUCGCGAAGAAGCAUUCAGG